CGCUGGCGGCAUGCCUUACACAUGCAAGUCGAACGGCAGCGCGGGGCAACCUGGCGGCGAGUGGCGAACGGGUGAGUAAUAUAUCGGAACGUACCCUGGAGUGGGGGAUAACGUAGCGAAAGUUACGCUAAUACCGCAUACGAUCUAAGGAUGAAAGUGGGGGAUUCGCAAGAACCUCAUGCUCCUGGAGCGGCCGAUAUCUGAUUAGCUAGUUGGUGGGGUAAAGGCCCACCAAGGCAUCGAUCAGUAGCUGGUCUGAGAGGACGACCAGCCACACUGGAACUGAGACACGGUCCAGACUCCUACGGGAGGCAGCAGUGGGGAAUUUUGGACAAUGGGCGCAAGCCUGAUCCAGCAAUGCCGCGUGAGUGAAGAAGGCCUUCGGGUUGUAAAGCUCUUUUGUCAGGGAAGAAACGGGAUUGGCUAAUAUCUGGUCCUAAUGACGGUACCUGAAGAAUAAGCACCGGCU
RNAcentral lists this ribosomal RNA (469 nucleotides) under uncultured bacterium. Its description in RNAcentral is "bacterial SSU rRNA". It matches the Rfam family "Bacterial small subunit ribosomal RNA", at positions 34 to 498 of the family's 1533-position model. The record is from RNAcentral.